UACGAAUGGGGCGAGCGUUGUUCGGAAUCACUGGGCGUAAAGCGUACGUAGGCGGACUGGAAAGUCAGAAGUGAAAUCCCGGGGCUUAACCCCGGAAUUGCUUUUGAAACUUCCAGUCUAGAGGCCCGGAGAGGUCAGCGGAAUUCCGAGUGUAGAGGUGAAAUUCGCAGAUAUUCGGAGGAACACCAGUUGCGUAGGCGGCUGGCUGGACGGGCACUGACGCUGAGGUACGAAAGCGUGGGGAUCAAAC
This 250-nucleotide ribosomal RNA is filed under the name uncultured bacterium. RNAcentral describes it as "partial 16S ribosomal RNA". It matches the Rfam family "Bacterial small subunit ribosomal RNA", at positions 524 to 773 of the family's 1533-position model. The record is from RNAcentral.